AGGCGGGACGGUCACUCACAAGUACAAAGCGAAAUAUUCUUUCGCCUUUUACUAAAGAUACUGUGUGCGCGCCGCAAGUAGCAGCAUACGCUAAUUUUUUAGAGGGGUUCUUCCUAUUUUAGGAGU
Molecule: small nuclear RNA, 126 nt
Organism: Lolium perenne
Lineage: Eukaryota; Viridiplantae; Streptophyta; Magnoliopsida; Poales; Poaceae
Product: U5 spliceosomal RNA
Source: RefSeq, a predicted model, not a curated record